AGUGAACGCUGGCGGUAGGCCUAACACAUGCAAGUCGAACGGCAGCACAGUAAGAGCUUGCUCUUACGGGUGGCGAGUGGCGGACGGGCGAGGAAUACAUCGGAAUCUACUUUUUCGUGGGGGAUAACGUAGGGAAACUUACGCUAAUAUCGCAUACGACCUACGGGUGAAAGCAGGGGAUCUUCGGACCUUGCGCGAUUGAAUGAGCCGAUGUCGGAUUAGCUAGUUGGCGGGGUAAAGGCCCACCAAGGCGACGAUCCGUAGCUGGUCUGAGAGGAUGAUCAGCCACACUGGAACUGAGACACGGUCCAGACUCCUACGGGAGGCAGCAGUGGGGAAUAUUGGACAAUGGGCGCAAGCCUGAUCCAGCCAUACCGCGUGGGUGAAGAAGGCCUUCGGGUUGUAAAGCCCUUUUGUUGGGAAAGAAAAGCAGCAGGUUAAUACCCCGCUGUUCUGACGGUACCCAAAGAAUAAGCACCGGCUAACUUCGUG
This 492-nucleotide ribosomal RNA is filed under the name uncultured bacterium. RNAcentral's name for it is "partial 16S ribosomal RNA". It matches the Rfam family "Bacterial small subunit ribosomal RNA", at positions 29 to 507 of the family's 1533-position model. The record is from RNAcentral.